AACGAACGCUGGCGGCGGGCCUAACACAUGCAAGUCGAGCGAGACCUUCGGGUCUAGCGGCGGACGGGUGAGUAACGCGUGGGAAUAUGCCCUUUGGUACGGAAUAGCCUCGGGAAACUGAGAGUAAUACCGUAUGUGCCCUUCGGGGGAAAGAUUUAUCGCCAAAGGAUUAGCCCGCGUUGGAUUAGGUAGUUGGUGGGGUAAUGGCCUACCAAGCCUACGAUCCAUAGCUGGUUUGAGAGGAUGAUCAGCCACACUGGGACUGAGACACGGCCCAGACCCCUACGGGAGGCAGCAGUGGGGAAUCUUAGACAAUGGGGGCAACCCUGAUCUAGCCAUGCCGCGUGAGUGAUGAAGGCCUUAGGGUUGUAAAGCUCUUUCAGCUGGGAAGAUAAUGACGGUACCAGCAGAAGAAGCCCCGGCUAACUCCGUGCCAGCAGCCGCGGUAA
RNAcentral lists this ribosomal RNA (449 nucleotides) under uncultured bacterium. RNAcentral's name for it is "partial 16S ribosomal RNA". It matches the Rfam family "Bacterial small subunit ribosomal RNA", at positions 29 to 523 of the family's 1533-position model. The record is from RNAcentral.